RNAcentral lists this ribosomal RNA (828 nucleotides) under Escherichia coli. Its description in RNAcentral is "partial 23S ribosomal RNA". It matches the Rfam family "Bacterial large subunit ribosomal RNA", at positions 1971 to 2798 of the family's 2925-position model. The record is from RNAcentral. Lineage: Bacteria; Pseudomonadati; Pseudomonadota; Gammaproteobacteria; Enterobacterales; Enterobacteriaceae.
GUCGGGUAAGUUCCGACCUGCACGAAUGGCGUAAUGAUGGCCAGGCUGUCUCCACCCGAGACUCAGUGAAAUUGAACUCGCUGUGAAGAUGCAGUGUACCCGCGGCAAGACGGAAAGACCCCGUGAACCUUUACUAUAGCUUGACACUGAACAUUGAGCCUUGAUGUGUAGGAUAGGUGGGAGGCUUUGAAGUGUGGACGCCAGUCUGCAUGGAGCCGACCUUGAAAUACCACCCUUUAAUGUUUGAUGUUCUAACGUGGACCCGUGAUCCGGGUUGCGGACAGUGUCUGGUGGGUAGUUUGACUGGGGCGGUCUCCUCCUAAAGAGUAACGGAGGAGCACGAAGGUUGGCUAAUCCUGGUCGGACAUCAGGAGGUUAGUGCAAUGGCAUAAGCCAGCUUGACUGCGAGCGUGACGGCGCGAGCAGGUGCGAAAGCAGGUCAUAGUGAUCCGGUGGUUCUGAAUGGAAGGGCCAUCGCUCAACGGAUAAAAGGUACUCCGGGGAUAACAGGCUGAUACCGCCCAAGAGUUCAUAUCGACGGCGGUGUUUGGCACCUCGAUGUCGGCUCAUCACAUCCUGGGGCUGAAGUAGGUCCCAAGGGUAUGGCUGUUCGCCAUUUAAAGUGGUACGCGAGCUGGGUUUAGAACGUCGUGAGACAGUUCGGUCCCUAUCUGCCGUGGGCGCUGGAGAACUGAGGGGGGCUGCUCCUAGUACGAGAGGACCGGAGUGGACGCAUCACUGGUGUUCGGGUUGUCAUGCCAAUGGCACUGCCCGGUAGCUAAAUGCGGAAGAGAUAAGUGCUGAAAGCAUCUAAGCACGAAACUUGCC